This 460-nucleotide ribosomal RNA is filed under the name uncultured bacterium. RNAcentral describes it as "partial 16S ribosomal RNA". It matches the Rfam family "Bacterial small subunit ribosomal RNA", at positions 338 to 795 of the family's 1533-position model. The record is from RNAcentral.
CCUACGGGAGGCAGCAGUGAGGAAUAUUGGUCAAUGGACGAGAGUCUGAACCAGCCAAGUCGCGUGAAGGAUGACUGCCCUAUGGGUUGUAAACUUCUUUUAUAUGGGAGUAAAAUGUUCCACGUGUGGGAUUUCGUAUGUACCAUAUCAAUAAGGAUCGGCUAACCCCGCGCCAGCCGCCGCGGUAAUACGGAGGAUACGAGCGUUAUCCGGAUUUAUUGGGCUUAAAGGGAGCGUAGGUGGGUCGUUAAGUCAGGUGUGAAAGUUUGCGGCCCAACCGUAGAAUUGCAGUUGAAACUGGCAGUCUUGAGUACAGUAGAGGAGGGCGGAAUUCGUGGUGUAGCGGUGAAAUGCUUAGAUAUCACGAAGAACUCCGAUUGCGAAGGCAGCUCACUGGACUGCAACUGACACUGAGGCUCGAAAGUGUGGGUAUCAAACAGGAUUAGAUACCCGAGUAGUC